GACGAACGCUGGCGGCGUGCCUAACACAUGCAAGUCGAACGGAACUGUUUUGAAAGAUUUCUUCGGAAUGAAUUUGAUUUAGUUUAGUGGCGGACGGGUGAGUAACGCGUGAGUAACCUGCCUUCAAGAGGGGGAUAACAUUCUGAAAAGAAUGCUAAUACCGCAUGAUAUAUCGGAACCACAUGGUUUUGAUAUCAAAGAUUUUAUCGCUUGAAGAUGGACUCGCGUCCGAUUAGUUAGUUGGUGAGGUAACGGCUCACCAAGACCGCGAUCGGUAGCCGGACUGAGAGGUUGAACGGCCACAUUGGGACUGAGACACGGCCCAGACUCCUACGGGAGGCAGCAGUGGGGGAUAUUGCGCAAUGGGGGCAACCCUGACGCAGCAACGCCGCGUGAAGGAUGAAGGUUUUCGGAUUGUAAACUUCUUUUAUUAAGGACGAAACUUGACGGUACUUAAUGAAUAAGCUCCGGCUA
RNAcentral lists this ribosomal RNA (474 nucleotides) under uncultured bacterium. Its description in RNAcentral is "bacterial SSU rRNA". It matches the Rfam family "Bacterial small subunit ribosomal RNA", at positions 28 to 499 of the family's 1533-position model. The record is from RNAcentral.